AACGAACGCUGGCGGCAUGCCUAACACAUGCAAGUCGAACGAGACCUUCGGGUCUAGUGCCGUAUGGGUGCGUAGCGCGUGGGAACAUGCCCUUAGGUUCGGACUAUCUCCCCGAACGGGGUGCCAAUACCGGGUAAUGUCUUCGGGCUAAAGAUUUAUCGCCUUGGGAUGGGCCCGCGUUGGAUUAGCUAGUUGGUAGGGUAAACGCCGACCAAGGCGACGAUCCAUAGCUAGUCUGAGAGGAUGAUCAGCCACACUGAGACUGAGACACGGCGCAGACUCCUACAAGAUGCAGCAGUGGGGAAUAUUGGACAGUGGGCGAGAGCCUGAUCCAGCAAUGCCGCGUGAGUUAUGAAGGUCUGAGGGGUGUAAAGCACUUUUACCCGGGAUGAUAAUGACAGUACCGGGAGAAUAAGCUCCGGCUAACUCCGUG
Molecule: ribosomal RNA, 433 nt
Filed under: uncultured bacterium
Lineage: Bacteria
Description: partial 16S ribosomal RNA
Rfam family: Bacterial small subunit ribosomal RNA
Source: RNAcentral